Molecule: ribosomal RNA, 381 nt
Filed under: uncultured eukaryote
Lineage: Eukaryota
Description: SSU rRNA
Rfam family: Eukaryotic small subunit ribosomal RNA
Source: RNAcentral
AGCUCCAAUAGCGUAUAUUAAAGUUGUUGCGGUUAAAAAGCUCGUAGUUGGAUUUCUGUUGAGGACAGUCGGUCCGCUCUUUGAGCGUGCAUCUAACUUGUCUUCGGCAUCCUCGCGACUGUUAAAACUGUGCUUGAUUGCACGGUUUGGAGUUCGCGACUUUUACUUUGAGGAAAUUAGAGUGUUCACUGCAGGCUAGCGCCAUGAAUACAUUAGCAUGGAAUAAUAAUACAGGGCUUUGGUCCUAUUUUGUUGGUUUCUAGGACUAGAGCAAUGAUUAAUAGGGAUAGUUGGGGGUAUUUGUAUUAACGCGUCAGAGGUGGAAUUCUUGGAUUGCGUUACGACAAACAACUGCGAAAGCAUUUACCAAGGAUGUUUUCA